Molecule: long non-coding RNA, 2956 nt
Filed under: Triticum aestivum (bread wheat)
Lineage: Eukaryota; Viridiplantae; Streptophyta; Magnoliopsida; Poales; Poaceae
Description: long non-coding RNA (TAES_LNC000311)
Source: RNAcentral
CUCGGGUACCUUAUUAUUUCUCCCUAUUAUAGUGUUUUCUCAAAGUUGUAAUCCCAUAUCGUAAUUAAUUCCUUAUAGUAUACUUGCUUUUGCUCCUGUCAUCAUAACGAACCUAUUUAACUCAUGACAUGUGUAAUGGUCAUUUGUACCCAUUUAAUCUCUUCUAGAGCUCUUCAUGAAUCUAUGCUCUAUUUGCUGAAGAGGGUUCAGUGCAGUGUCUUCAAAGGUCGGGAAAAAAAUGUUAUGAUGCAGAGGGGACAACAUCUUGAAGGGAGCAAUGUUUUGAUACUUGCUUUAUAGGAAUUCUCUUUCUUUGCCUAGAACUUGUGAUUUAUGGCUGAUGACUAUUCCAUCUUUGCAGGUGCUUCUCAAUUAUAGAUGGAAAACUUGCCAUGGAGGCACAUAGCUUGCUGAUUUUGUUUCUGGAUUGGCCCUUGAGAGGGAGACCGACGCAUACUUCAGCAUGUUUCAGGUGUGCGACCUCUAUUCCUUGUGUUUGUUUCCCUCGCUGAGCUUGGGCAUUGUACAUUUUGGUAAAUAUAGUUAGUUACUUUGUUUACUGGCAAUUGUGAAUAUUCAGAGCACAUACAUGCUUGGUUUACUUCAGUUAGUACCUGCCAUUCAGUAAUCAAGCCUGAAGAAAGUGUGCCUCCCUAUUUUGUGCACAUAAAUACUUAGCUUACUAUGACCAAAUUAAGUAAACUUAUACAAUAAGCUUCUUCAUUGUUUCACUUGUGGAAACUAAACUACUACUGUGUUAAAUUUAUUAUAGUCAUCUUUAAAGGAGUUGUGGUUGGUUGCCAUUGUGUUGAAGUAAUUUCUUGCUGAAGCACCGGUCUAAAUUUAUCAUUGGUUUCGCUGGUGCUUCAUGUAAGCGGGAUUACUAAUUGUUCCAUUGGUUUUGCUCUGGUGAGUUCUUCCCCAUAUACCUUUGAUGCUUUUGCCUCCAUACCUUCGAGCUAGUAUUUUUUUCAAGGGUUAUCAUGUUUUUGUGGUAGUGUGACUGGCUCAGAGUUUAUAAUCAUUUGUCUUCUUCAAUGAAUGUCUGUGCUAUGAUAUUCUGUAAGGCUAGGCACACACUAAGUUGGUUAAUGCUUUUGAUCUAGGUUGUUGGGAGAUAAUGAAACAAUAAUGUUUAUCUGCUCACAAUGCCUUAUAUUGAUUGCUCUGGACAGGUAUUUUAAUCGUAAGAGAUGUCUCCAAAAAGGCAAAAACAACAAUUCACUGUUGAUUUACUUUGCUACGAUUGCUCCCAUUAGAUUGUCCUUAAAUCAUGUGCAAAGCUGAAGUAUUGUUCGCUGACUGUCAGCCUGACAGAUCAGAUGGGAUGAUGAUGCAGAGUGUUAAAAGGCCUAAUGGGUUAUCUCCUUGGUAGAUGAAGCUUGUUGGAUUGAUUUCAGGCCAUUGAAAACAGAUGACACCAUGCCUCCCCCAGUUAAUGAACAUGUGUCGCUUCCAAGUAAUAAUGAAUUUUCUACUAUCUCUGCUCUGCCGAACUUUCUUUUCUUUUGCCAUUUUGGCUGGUAGUCUUUCAUAGAAUUUUGUGAUAUCUACCUGACUCCAGAAGGUCAUGCAACAUUAAGAAUUGCUGGGUUUGAAAAACACAGGAUGGAAUUGUUAAUUCAUUAUCUCUGUCUGAAGCAAGACAUUUUUGGUACACUGUUGAAUAGAGUUGAUGUAUCAGCAUGAGUAACAUUGCGACAUUCUAAGGGUUGGUGCUAAAAGCCAACCUAGAAACCAUUGUUUUCCCAAAAACUAUGUGGUUCAUAUGUUGACAUGAUUGUUUACUAGUAGGACAACCAGGAGGUAGUGCAAUAUCCUUAUUAGUUAUACUCAGGGAUGCAAAAUCUUCACCUGAUGAUUCCACCCCUUUUUACAUGACACUAGCUGCCGCAUGGUAAAAGGUGUCUCGCCGAUGCUCUUUAUGACACCCGCUGACAGAUUAAUGAGUGCACUCAUAGAGAACAUAACAAGGUAUUUUAGGAAGUGCUUGGACUAGGUUCAAAUUUUUGAAAGUUUUAGGCACGCUUUUUUUACAGUGUUGGUUUCAAGUUUUUCUUUCCGACACAGUUAGACUUUCUGAAAUACAGCCUUGAACUACACAUGAAACAAUAGUGUUUAUUUGGUCACCAGCAAGAUGAUGAUGUGAAACGAAUGACUUUGCGUCUUUCAGAGUUUCUACCAUUAAAUAGUUUCCCAUAACAGAAUAUUUGCUAAUAUUGGUAGCUAAAAAUGAGAUACUUAUGCUUGUUGAUGCAUUCCCUUUUUGUAGUAACAUCCAUGUGUCCAGCAUAUGUAGAAUAUUAGAUUUUUUUGGCUGUUUAUUGUAGUUCGUUCUCAAGGUUUGGAAAAUUCUUUAGCUAUAUUCCUUGUCUCAAGCGAGCAUGAGCAAUAUCUUCUUUAUGCCGCAUGCCGCCAAUUUUCUAUUUUAGAUGGUUGUGUAUUUUCUCUUCUAAAAAGGGAUAUGUAUUUUAUUAAUCUGACUAUAAUUUGUGGUAGGUACAUACUGAAGGAUGUUCUGAGGCUAGCACCUGGUUUAGAAGUUUUGCAAUUCACAACAAUACCUCAUAAUUUUGAUUUGAUGUCCAGAAUGUCAAUUGAAGAAUGAGCCUAUGAACUGCAUUGUAUUUUGUAAUAUAUCCUUAUAUAUGGUGCUUGUGGCGUUUUGUUUUUGCAAUUAUAAGUUUACGUUUAUGGGUAUUAUAGAGUCCUUUCUUUUUCCACAAGGGGCAGUAGCUGUGCCAUUCGAUUCGAAGGACAAAGAGUUGAUCACAAAGGGGUAGCACUUAGGAUAUAUACACAAGAGUAUAGAACCAAAUUAUAUGAUGUAAUUCACCACUAUUUCUAUUAACUUCUCAUGUACAAAUGUUCACGAGUUCAUGUAUUAAGUACAUUUUAUUGUGUCACUUGUGUUUACUCUUUUUAAUGCAAGUUUACAGCUACUCGGAGUUCCUAA